RNAcentral lists this ribosomal RNA (745 nucleotides) under Heterorhabditis indica. RNAcentral's name for it is "LSU rRNA". It matches the Rfam family "Eukaryotic large subunit ribosomal RNA", at positions 97 to 812 of the family's 3401-position model. The record is from RNAcentral. Lineage: Eukaryota; Metazoa; Nematoda; Chromadorea; Rhabditida; Heterorhabditidae.
AAGGGGAAGAGCCCAGCGCUGAAUCUCUCGGUCUUAGGCCGCUGAGAACUGUAGCGUAUAGGUGUGAUUGUCCGGCUAUAUUGCAUUUCCGAAGUCUCUUUGAUAGGGGCCAACAUCCAUAGAGGGUGCGAGACCUGUACGGAAAGUAGUGUAGUUGGUAUGGUUACUCCUUGGAGUCGGGUUGCUUGAAAGUGCAGCCUAAAGUGGGUGAUAAACUUCAUCUAAGGCUAAAUAUCGACGCGAAAUCGAUAGCAAACAAGUACCGUGAGGGAAAGUUGCAAAGAACUUUGAAGAGAGAGUUCAAGAGAACGUGAAAUCGCUGAAGUGGAACCGGAGAGAGUUAACAUAACUUGGUAGCUAUAUUCUCUAUAGUCGCUUAGCUGUGGCUUUGGGGGGUGGACGCUACCUGUUGUUGCGCUGACUGCGUUGAUCAUGCUUUCCUAACAAUGUAGUGUUGCCCACAUUGUGGUGUCUUGCUUAUUGGGAGGUUUGUCAUGGUUAACGUCAAGCCUUAGUUUCUAGGGAGUCAGUGUGAAAGUUAACCACCUUUCCGACCCGUCUUGAAACACGGACCGAGGAGUGUAAUUUACACGCGAGUCAAAGGGCUGAGGAAACCUUAUGGCAUAAUGAAAGUAAAGACCGGUUAACCGGUUGACAUGGGAUCCGACUGAACUUCUUCGAAACGGAGCACCAUGGCCCUGUCUUGUCUGCUUGCAGAUGGGCAGCGGUAGAGCGUGUAGGUUGC